GACGAACGCUGGCGGCGUGCUUAACACAUGCAAGUCGAACGAAAAGAGGGAAAGAGCUUGCUCUUUCCGGAAUUGAGUGGCAAACGGGUGAGUAACACGUAAACAACCUGCCUUCAGGAUGGGGACAACAGACGGAAACGACUGCUAAUACCGAAUAAGUUCCAAGGGCCGCAUGGCCCAUGGAAGAAAAGGUGGCCUCUACCUGUAAGCUAUCGCCUGAAGAGGGGUUUGCGUCUGAUUAGCUGGUUGGAGGGGUAACGGCCCACCAAGGCGACGAUCAGUAGCCGGUCUGAGAGGAUGAACGGCCACACUGGAACUGAGACACGGUCCAGACUCCUACGGGAGGCAGCAGUGGGGAAUCUUCCGCAAUGGGCGAAAGCCUGACGGAGCAACGCCGCGUGAGUGAUGACGGCCUUCGGGUUGUAAAACUCUGUGAUCCGGGACGAAAAGGCAGAGUGCGAAGAACAAACUGCAUUGACGGUACCGGAAAAGCAA
Molecule: ribosomal RNA, 495 nt
Filed under: Dialister invisus
Lineage: Bacteria; Bacillati; Bacillota; Negativicutes; Veillonellales; Veillonellaceae
Description: bacterial SSU rRNA
Rfam family: Bacterial small subunit ribosomal RNA
Source: RNAcentral